RNAcentral lists this long non-coding RNA (204 nucleotides) under Lathyrus oleraceus (garden pea). Its description in RNAcentral is "Pisum sativum (pea) long non-coding RNA (PSAT_LNC011965)". The record is from RNAcentral. Lineage: Eukaryota; Viridiplantae; Streptophyta; Magnoliopsida; Fabales; Fabaceae.
UUACAUCAUGAUACAAGCUUCAAAUGAAUUUUUGCCCAACAUGAAAGUUGAAGAUCUUGUUCUCCCAUUUUCAAAAAGUCCAAGAACUCUCAAAUCCCAUGUAUGGUUUGCAAGAUAUGAUCAAUUCAAUUUCAAAAAUUUGUGAACUUCAACAAGCCAUAUCUCAUGAACCACUUGGCCAAAUUUGAUGGGGUUUUUUCCUAC